GGGGAAUAUUGCGCAAUGGGGGAAACCCUGACGCAGCAACGCCGCGUGAAGGAAGAAGGUCUUCGGAUCGUAAACUUUUGUCUUUAGGGAAGAUAGUGACGGUACCUAAGGAGGAAGCCACGGCUAACUACGUGCCAGCAGCCGCGGUAAUACGUAGGUGGCAAGCGUUGUCCGGAUUUACUGGGUGUAAAGGGUGCGUAGACGGGUAAGUAAGUCAGAUGUGAAAUACCGAGGCUCAACCUCGGGGCUGCAUUUGAAACUGCAUAUCUUGAGUGUCGGAGAGGAAAGCGGAAUUCCUAGUGUAGCGGUGAAAUGCGUAGAUAUUAGGAGGAACACCAGUGGCGAAGGCGGCUUUCUGGACGAUAACUGACGUUGAGGCACGAAAGCGUGGGGAGCAAAC
RNAcentral lists this ribosomal RNA (400 nucleotides) under uncultured bacterium. RNAcentral's name for it is "bacterial SSU rRNA". It matches the Rfam family "Bacterial small subunit ribosomal RNA", at positions 356 to 773 of the family's 1533-position model. The record is from RNAcentral.